GGCCAAGUGGUGAAAGACUUCAUUCGAACAAGAGAAGCAAGUGCUGGUGAAAAGAUGAACCAAGGACCUUUGGAAAUGCUAAGAUGCCUCACAAGUUACUUCAAGGAAGCAACUGUCCUGUUGGUUGCAGACAAGGAUGGCCAGAAAGAACUACCCAGCACUCCUUGCAUCAUUGUCAUUGGGUCUCCUGGGGAUCAACACUGAACGUGGCUCAAAAGCUGAAUCGAAGUGCAAGAAGCACUUCAAAAUCAAUCCUAAGCUUCUGAAAUUCCUGAAGGACCUCAGUGACUUUCAGAAUCCAUUCAAAAUUUAAAUGGACAAGGUAAGCACCAUGCAGAUUUUUCUGUUAUAAUGCUAUGUUUAAGCUGAUGCUUAACUGCUUAUAGGAUGGCAGAACUAAGCUGAAACAGUAUUAAUGUAAUACAAAUAAAACGUUAAGCAACAAUAUUUAACUUUA
This is a long non-coding RNA of Pygocentrus nattereri (red-bellied piranha), 457 nucleotides long. RefSeq lists it as uncharacterized. The record is from RefSeq and is a predicted model, not a curated record. Lineage: Eukaryota; Metazoa; Chordata; Actinopteri; Characiformes; Serrasalmidae. The transcript is spliced from 3 exons.